UAGCGCGUGUUGCAUGCGGUUGUCCCCUAGACAUGCCAGCCAUAGAGUUUCCUACUUUUGUAGGAAACUCUAUGAUGCCAGCAUUGCGUUGUGCAGUCGAGUUUGCGCGCCGCCUCUGGCUGCCCGCGCGGUGAGGCAGUGGGCACGGACGCCCCAUUUGGUGAUCGCUGUGUCUGAAGGGGUAAUUAAGGUUCGGACUGCUGUCGCUUUUUUCGUCGCGACGAUAGACUGGAUUUUUUUACAAGCAUUGCUCCAGGAGGGCAAAUUGAAGUAAUGGACGCAGGAACAGAAAUGAACGCACGUUUAUUGAUUUAUUCGUUUAAAGGGACACUAAAGGUUACUAUGAAGUCAAGUUCAAGUGAUAAAGCAAUGCUGUAGAACGUCUAAGGCGUCAAUAUAAUCGCGAACAGAGCUUUAGUAACCGAGAAAUUGAGGUAAAUGCAUGAUACGAUUUGAGACCCCCCAGCGACAUUCCGCGGUACUAGCCCGUUAGCCCUAUGACGAAAGUACUCCUCAUCAUAAUUUAUGUCACUAGUACUCAACCACUCGUAUUAAAAAGAUUAAUUCAUUGGGUUAUAAGACGGAAGAAAAUGCUACUUGUCUAGUUCUGUUCUAUCCUAAAAAAAAAAAACACACACACACAUUUUGACGUUACCCUUCAGUAGUAUGGGUGGUCGAAAGGUUUCGUUUUCGCUCAACUCUGCGCGCUCAACUCUGCGCCACGCGCGCUUUGGAGUUUCAGUUGUUUCGUUAUCGCGUCGUGCUGCGCUGGUUCUGCUGGCUCGCGAAACUUGCAUUUGGAACAAGCAACGAGAAUGCCACGUCCAUGUGAUGUCGUGGGAUGCGCGAACGGUCCGCGGAACUUGGCCAAGGGCAGUUGUAGCGGCGAAUCCAACAUUACUUAUCACUGUGUGCCAACGAGUGAACCUCUCCGAUCGAAGUGGUUAAGUGCCGUACCUCUGCCACAGCGCGUUGGCAAAGAGCCGAAAAAUCGCAUAGUGUGCUCGCUGCACUUUCGUUCAAAGGAUUACGUGUUCAACGCCGACUUACUGAAGACGUGUGGAGUGCCUUUCAAAGCAAUGCUUUCCCGUAGCGCUGUUCCGUCGGUCUUACCUGCAUUCUCCGAAGCGCAAGAACAACCGCAGGUCGAAGACGGAGCGAGGCGGUGAGCGCGGCAUUUGGUUUUCACGAAGGAAAAGCUACAAAUGUGCGAAUAUGUACAGCCAUGACAUAAGUUGCCGUCGUAGUAGUACGCAACAACGCCGGCAGCGCGAGCCCUCAGUAGCAGGUCACGAUCAUCAGUGCUUAAAUCGCUGAAGUCGAACCCUGCAUCGCGAGCCAAUGUGUCGUUGUCAGGGUCGUGCAUUCCAACGAGCGUCAAAGUUGGCGUCAUAAAAUAAAGAACCAGCUUAUCGUCGCGCGCUUUCCCUUCCGCUAGCCGCCAUAGUUCCGCUUUCGUGCUGCUGUCGGCUCUGUCUUGGCUCUGUUUCUGGCCGCGCGUUUGUGUUUUGCGCAGAAAAGCCGUAGCGCCGUCUGCGGGCGCCGUUUUACUCACCGGCGGUGCACUAUGAGACCAUGACGAUCAGCACUCCUCGAUCGGAGGGCGGGCUACUUGAACUGCGCUAGAGGAGGAGCUCUAGAAACGGUCUGGCGCCUUGCGGCGCCGGUUUGAUCUGCGAAUUGGAACAACUGCCAGAGGUCCAGCAUUGGCAGUACCCGUGUCGUGCUCUUCCGGGACUCCAGUGUUGGCAGCUCCCGUUUCGUGCUCAUCGCUAGCCGAGGAGUUGGGGCUGGUACCCGAAAAGCCCGCCAGAGGGUCUGCAUCUUCGUUUGGUGAGUUGAUUAUGCUUGCCUGUGUCUACAAGAACCCCCCCCCCCUUUUUUUUUGUGUGUCAAGACACAACAAGAACGUUCACGCGUGGCCUGUGGCAGCAAGCUUUUGUGGGCAGCCAGUGCUCUCCUGCGAAGGCUGGCCUGCUCUGGCAGCGGUGGCAACCAUUUUCAAGAUUCAUGCAUGACCACCUUUGCUGCUGUUUGUCGCUCUUGUUAAUUACACUUUCUGUAUCUUUUCUAUAAUUUAUUAGGUAAUAAAGUUUGUCACAUGGU
Long non-coding RNA from Dermacentor andersoni, 2106 nucleotides. RefSeq lists it as uncharacterized. NCBI's taxonomy places the organism in Eukaryota, Metazoa, Arthropoda, Arachnida, Ixodida, Ixodidae. The record is from RefSeq and is a predicted model, not a curated record.